RNAcentral lists this ribosomal RNA (486 nucleotides) under uncultured bacterium. RNAcentral describes it as "partial 16S ribosomal RNA". It matches the Rfam family "Bacterial small subunit ribosomal RNA", at positions 28 to 507 of the family's 1533-position model. The record is from RNAcentral.
GAUGAACGCUAGCGGCAGGCUUAACACAUGCAAGUCGAGGGGCAGCGCGGGAUAGCAAUAUCCUGGCGGCGACCGGCGGACGGGUGCGUAACGCGUGAGCGACAUGCCCGUUGCCCGGGGACAACCGGUGGAAACGCCGACUAAUCCCCGAUGGGAUAUUGUGCCGCAUGGCACGAUAUUGAAAGUUACGGCGGCGACGGAUUGGCUCGCGUCCGAUUAGCUUGUUGGCGGGGUAACGGCCCACCAAGGCUGCGAUCGGUAGGGGUUCUGAGAGGAAGGCCCCCCACAAUGGGACUGAGACACGGCCCAUACUCCUACGGGAGGCAGCAGUGAGGAAUAUUGGUCAAUGGGCGGAAGCCUGAACCAGCCAUGCCGCGUGCGGGAAGGAGGCCCUAUGGGCUGUGAACCGCUUUUGCCUGGGGGCAAUAAGGGCGUCGCGCACGUCCGAUGAGAGUACCAGGCGAAUAAGCAUCGGCUAACUCCGUG